RNAcentral lists this ribosomal RNA (377 nucleotides) under uncultured eukaryote. Its description in RNAcentral is "partial 18S ribosomal RNA". It matches the Rfam family "Eukaryotic small subunit ribosomal RNA", at positions 592 to 976 of the family's 1831-position model. The record is from RNAcentral.
CAAUAGCGUAUAUUAAAGUUGUUGCAGUUAAAAAGCUCGUAGUUGGAUUUCGGGGCAGCCUGGCUGGUCCGCCGCAAGGCGAGUACUGGUCAGCCGCCCUUCCUCUCGAAAGCCCCGACUGCUCUUUAUUGCAGUGGUCGGGUAGUUCGGGACGUUUACUUUGAAAAAAUUAGAGUGUUCAAGGCAGGCCUACGCCUGAAUACAUUAGCAUGGAAUAAUGGAAGAGGACCUCGGUCCUAUUUUGUUGGUUUCCAGGACCGAAGUAAUGAUUAAGAGGGACAGUUGGGGGCAUUCGUAUUUAAUUGUCAGAGGUGAAAUUCUCGGAUUUAUGAAAGACGAACAACUGCGAAAGCACUUGCCAAGGAUGUUUUCAUUAA